RNAcentral lists this ribosomal RNA (399 nucleotides) under uncultured bacterium. RNAcentral's name for it is "bacterial SSU rRNA". It matches the Rfam family "Bacterial small subunit ribosomal RNA", at positions 28 to 431 of the family's 1533-position model. The record is from RNAcentral.
AUUGAACGCUGGCGGCAUGCUUUACACAUGCAAGUCGAACGGCAGCGGGGGCUUCGGCCUGCCGGCGAGUGGCGAACGGGUGAGUAAUGCAUCGGAACGUGCCCAGUCAUGGGGGAUAACUACGCGAAAGCGUAGCUAAUACCGCAUACGCCCUGAGGGGGAAAGCGGGGGAUCGCAAGACCUCGCGUGAUUGGAGCGGCCGAUGUCGGAUUAGCUAGUUGGUGGGGUAAAGGCCUACCAAGGCGACGAUCCGUAGCGGGUCUGAGAGGAUGAUCCGCCACACUGGGACUGAGACACGGCCCAGACUCCUACGGGAGGCAGCAGUGGGGAAUUUUGGACAAUGGGGGCAACCCUGAUCCAGCCAUGCCGCGUGAGUGAAGAAGGCCUCGGUUGUAAGAC